GUCCACGCCGUAAACGAUGGAUACUAGCUGUUGGGAGCAAUCUCAGUGGCUAAGCGAAAGUGAUAAGUAUCCCACCUGGGGAGUACGUUCGCAAGAAUGAAACUCAAAGGAAUUGACGGGGGCCCGCACAAGCGGUGGAGCAUGUGGUUUAAUUCGAUGAUACGCGAGGAACCUUACCAGGGCUUAAAUGUAGAUUGACAGGACUGGAAACAGUUUUUUCUCGGACAAUUUACAAGGUGCUGCAUGGUUGUCGU
RNAcentral lists this ribosomal RNA (254 nucleotides) under uncultured bacterium. RNAcentral's name for it is "partial 16S ribosomal RNA". It matches the Rfam family "Bacterial small subunit ribosomal RNA", at positions 793 to 1055 of the family's 1533-position model. The record is from RNAcentral.